Ornithorhynchus anatinus (platypus) is the source of this 138-nucleotide small nucleolar RNA. Lineage: Eukaryota; Metazoa; Chordata; Mammalia; Monotremata; Ornithorhynchidae. The record is from RefSeq and is a predicted model, not a curated record.
CCCCUCUCAGGAUUGCACCUGGAGAGUUUCCAGUACUCUACCAGUCUCGACUACAGGAGGAAGAGUCAAGCAGGGGCCUAACCAUUCCAUUUCUAGUUUGGGCAGUGGCUAGCAAGUGGAAGACAAUCGGCUACGAGU